This 403-nucleotide ribosomal RNA is filed under the name Verrucomicrobiota bacterium. Its description in RNAcentral is "Verrucomicrobia bacterium partial 16S ribosomal RNA". It matches the Rfam family "Bacterial small subunit ribosomal RNA", at positions 355 to 776 of the family's 1533-position model. The record is from RNAcentral. Lineage: Bacteria; Pseudomonadati; Verrucomicrobiota.
UGGGGAAUCUUGCACAAUGGGGGCAACCCUGAUGCAGCGACGCCGCGUGAGCGAUGAAGGUUUUCGAAUCGUAAAGCUCUGUCCUAUGGGAAGAUAAGGACGGUACCAUAGGAGGAAGCCCCGGCUAACUACGUCCCAGCAGCCGCGGUAAUACGUAGGGGGCGGGCGUUGUCCGGAAUUACUGGGCGUAAAGGGUUCGCAGGCGGCAUGGCAAGUCCGAUGUAAAAGGCGAAGGCUCAACCUUCGUAAGCAUCGGAAACUGUCAAGCUUGAGUGAAGGAGAGGCAAGUGGAAUUCCUAGUGUAGCGGUGGAAUGCGUAGAUAUUAGGAGGAAUACCGGUGGCGAAGGCGACUUGCUGGACUUCAACUGACGCUGAGGAACGAAAGCGUGGGUAGCAAACAGG